AGAUGGGCCUGCGGCGCAUUAGCUAGUUGGUGAGGUAACGGCUCACCAAGGCGACGAUGCGUAGCCGACCUGAGAGGGUGACCGGCCACACUGGGACUGAGACACGGCCCAGACUCCUACGGGAGGCAGCAGUAGGGAAUUUUCCACAAUGGACGAAAGUCUGAUGGAGCAACGCCGCGUGAACGAUGAAGGCUUUCGGGUCGUAAAGUUCUGUUGUUAGGGAAGAAACAGUGCUAUUUAAAUAAGGUAGCACCUUGACGGUACCUAACGAGAAAGCCACGGCUAACUACGUGCCAGCAGCCGCGGUAAUACGUAGGUGGCAAGCGUUGUCCGGAAUUAUUGGGCGUAAAGCGCGCGCAGGUGGCUAUGUAAGUCUGAUGUUAAAGCCCGAGGCUCAACCUCGGUUCGCAUUGGAAACUGUGUAGCUUGAGUGCAGGGAGAGGAAAGUGGUAUUCCACGUGUAGCGGUGAAAUGCGUAGAGAUGUGGAGGAACACCAGUGGCGAAGGCGACUUUCUGGCCUGUAACUGACACUGAGGCGCGAAAGCGUGGGGAGCAAAACAGGGAUUAGAUACCCUGGUAGUCCACGCCGUAAACGAUGAGUGCUAAGGUGUUAGGGGUUUCAAUACCCUUUAGUGCCGCAGCUAACGCAAUAAGCACUCCCGCCUGGGGAGUACGCUCGCAAGAGUUGAAACUCCAAAG
This 700-nucleotide ribosomal RNA is filed under the name Brevibacillus sp. RNAcentral describes it as "bacterial SSU rRNA". It matches the Rfam family "Bacterial small subunit ribosomal RNA", at positions 223 to 907 of the family's 1533-position model. Lineage: Bacteria; Bacillati; Bacillota; Bacilli; Caryophanales; Paenibacillaceae. The record is from RNAcentral.